RNAcentral lists this ribosomal RNA (753 nucleotides) under uncultured bacterium. RNAcentral describes it as "bacterial SSU rRNA". It matches the Rfam family "Bacterial small subunit ribosomal RNA", at positions 8 to 796 of the family's 1533-position model. The record is from RNAcentral.
AGAGUUUGAUCCUGGCUCAGAACGAACGCUGGCGGCAUGCCUAACACAUGCAAGUCGAACGUGAUCCGGGGCUUGCUCCGGUGAAAGUGGCGGACGGGUGAGUAACGCGUGGGAACCUGCCCAGUGGUCGGGGAUAACUGCGGGAAACUGCAGCUAAUACCCGGUAAGCCCUACGGGGGAAAGAUUUAUCGCCAUUGGAGGGGCCCGCGUCGGAUUAGGUAGUUGGUGGGGUAAAGACCUACCAAGCCUACGAUCCGUAGCUGGUCUGAGAGGAUGAUCAGCCACACUGGGACUGAGAUACGGCCCAGACUCCUACGGGAGGCAGCAGUGGGGAAUAUUGGACAAUGGGCGCAAGCCUGAUCCAGCAAUGCCGCGUGAGUGAAGAAGGCCUUAGGGUUGUAAAGCUCUUUCGGCGGGGACGAUGAUGACGGUACCCGCAGAAGAAGCCCCGGCUAACUCCGUGCCAGCAGCCGCGGUAAUACGGAGGGGGCUAGCGUUGUUCGGAAUUACUGGGCGUAAAGGGCGCGUAGGCGGCGCGAUAAGUUGGGCGUGAAAGGCCCGGGCUCAACCCGGGGACUGCGCUUGAUACUGUCGCGCUGUGAGUCCGGGAGAGGAUGGCGGAAUUCCCAGUGUAGAGGUGAAAUUCGUAGAUAUUGGGAAGAACACCGGUGGCGAAGGCGGCCAUCUGGACCGGCACUGACGCUGAGGCGCGAAAGCGUGGGGAGCAAACAGGAUUAGAUACCCUAGUAGUCC